This 21-nucleotide microRNA is filed under the name Corchorus olitorius. RNAcentral describes it as "dme-miR-4945-". The record is from RNAcentral. Lineage: Eukaryota; Viridiplantae; Streptophyta; Magnoliopsida; Malvales; Malvaceae.
UUUUCUCAUCUUCUUGUUGUU